AAAGUUUAUUUUCGCCUUUUCAGAUGCUUUUUACAUUAAAUUUGAGAUAUAUUCAGGGCUAUUUUGAUGUGUUUUGCUACAUCAAAAUCGCUUCUAAUUUAAAGUAAAAUUAAAAAUAAAAAUAAAUAAAUAAAAUAAAAUUUAAGAUAAUACUAUUUUUUAUAACUCACUUGUUAACAUUAAACACUGUUUAAUGCGUCGAUAUUCUAUUUUUCUGUUUUUAUUCGAAGGGCCAACUCGGUAAAUCGCGAAGAAUUCAACAUCCCCAAUUGGGCCACAAUGGCCCAGGAUGCCCCAGCCCAUGGUAACUCAAGUAGGCUCUUCAGGGCCCAGGCCCAAAGCCACUCGAAGGCUGCAGAACGAUAGGGUUAGGGUUUUUAGGUUUUCAAAGGCCGCAUCUCCACUAUAUAUCCGCAAAAACUCCUCCCUCCUCUCCAGAUCGCAGUCUCUGCCUUAAGAUUAGGGUUAGGGUUUAGGGUUUCAGAAAAUGAGGGUUUCGGUGUUCUUUCUUUCAGCACAAUGUCUCCCGGGCUAAUCCGAAGACUUCUUGAAGAAAAAGGCCCCAACACACGUGCUAAAACGACGCCGUUUAGUGUUGCAGUUCAAUCUUGAAUCUCUCCCACAGCUGAUCUGUGUCAAAUCAACGGCCACAUCCCUCUCUAGAUUUUUCCUUUUCUUCUUUUGUUUGCCUCUCCUCACCUUUAGCUUUUUUUCUGAAUAAUAACUCUGAAAAAAGGUCUAGUCAUGGAGGCACAGAUUGAUCUUCGGCGGUGUCAAACGUGGGGGCUUCACUUUUCAAUGGUUUUGCCUCUAAAAACACCCGCCAUAUCCACCUCUUGUCUGGAGGAUGAGAAUUCGAGGGAAAGUGAUAGAAAAGUUGGAAUCUUUGAUACAUUUCAAACUUCUUUCCCUUGUGAAUUCUUCUGAUUUUGAAAUUGUCUCUGGCAAUGAUUAUAUGUUAUCCGCGCUUCUGAGAGCAAUCGAUGAAGCAUAAAGGAAAAAAAAUGGUUGAAUUUCUUAAUAUGAGCCAGCUCUGAUAAUUGUAGUUUUACAGAAAAACCCCCAUAGUGAUUUGAAUCUCAGUGGACUCUCUGAAAAACCUGUUUGAUGUUUUUUGCAGUGAUGAUGAAUUAUAGCUUUUAAUGCCAGGUCUGCUUCAGAAAAUUCUUGAUUGAUAGAGCUGUUAAUUGCUCUGAGCCCUCUACCCAAAUCUUCCACAAACCAAUAAGUAGUUUUUCCAACUUUGAAUUGUUGGGUUUUCAAUUUGUCGAUUGAAGUGUGUUUGUUUGUAGUCCUUCAAACCUUGAACUGUAGGGUUUGAUUGGGAAAAUGCCUACUGAAAAUUUGAUUGAUUUUGGUGUUGUUUAAUAGCCAAUGAUGAUAGAAUCCAAUAUUUGGAGGUGUUGUGGAGCCAAGACCCUGUGUUUCAGGGAGAACCUACUUGGUGAAGCUACAUUCAAAUGACAUAAAUGGAUUCAGCUGAGGCAAUUUCUAUGAUUAGAAGUUCAUACAAUUGUUUUAAUGUUUUGUAAUUUUGUCAUUAGAAAUGUUUUCAAAAUAAUCAUCUGGUGUUUGGAUGCAAAUAAUAAUGUUUUUAUUAAGAAGAUAUAUAGUAGUGGAUGAUUUAUUCAUCUUCUCUGUUUGCAUCUUGAGUUUAAGUUGAUUAACUAUGCUUUCUACCCUUGCAUGGUGGGUAUGGAGGCUGAAAAACUCAGAAAGUUAGGUGUUGUAAUCAGCUUCUUCUCCCCUUUACCACGAGACUGGAGUUAAAUGCCAUCACUACAUUAGAUUUUUUAAGCUACAAUUCUCGUGCAUUCUUUUCUUAGGUCUCUUUCUCAUGCAGUAUGAUAUGGUGUAGUGGAAUGCUUUCAUUUUUUUUGCUGCAACAUCUUAGAAACAAAGGAUCUGUUUGGAAUAAAAGAAAAAAAAAAACCUAUUUUUCUGCUUUUUUAAGAAUGAUUGUGAAAUGUGUUUUUUAUGUUUUUCAUUCUAAAGGGAAAAAAAUUGUUUUAAAAAAUAGUUGUUAAAAAGGUUCUGGUCCUCUGGGUUUGUUAAGGUGUAUUGAUUCAAUUCUUUCACUGAAUUCCAAUAUACAAACUGUUUGUGCGUCCAAUUCCUUAAAAUUGAUUUGGGAUUCUCAAUGUUGUGAGUAUGAUAUAAUAAACAUAUGAUUUAUGUUAUACUAGAAUUAAAUAAUUAUAACAAUUUGAAAUUAUGUAUAAAUAAUCAAAACAUUAAAAUGUUUUUAUCUCUAAACAAAAAUUAUAAGAUUUAAAUGUCUAGUAAGUAUUGGUAAAAUAUUCAAUAUGUUUAUUACAAGUAAUGUAUAAGACGACUAGCUUAGUGGUAAUCUAUUCUAGAAUUAGACCUUUUGAAUAAGAAAAGAAAGAAAAAAGAAAAAGAAAUAAGCAAUUGUUUUAAUAAUUGGACUGAUUAUUGAAUUGGAAAACUUAUUGGUUCAUGGUUUAAUGGUCGGAUCAUUAAUUGAAUCAAAUAAGUAACGUUAUAAAUAUAUGAUUUAUAAUUUAUUAAAAUUAAAAAUAAUUUUUAAAAAUUAAUAAUAUUUAUAAUAAUAUUUAUUUAUUUUUAUAUAAAUAUAUUAAUAUUUUAAAUUUUAUUAAACAAAACAUGUACAAUAUUUAAAUAUGAAAAUAUAUUGAAAUUUGAAGAAAAUUUGUAAUUAUAUAUAUACUUACAUUAUUUUUUGAAAUGACAUGUAGUUUAUUUAUUGUUUUUAUAAUUUUUAGGGUUUAAUACAUUUUGUCUCUUUUAACCUAUCACGUGUUUUAAACAUUCCACCUUUAGGUUUAAAAUCGAACACAAUGCACCCAUGCUUCUUAAAUUGUAGCACUCGACCUUGAUUGUUGGAUGGUGUUAGUUUUUGUGGAUGGAAAUGUUAUAUAUUGUGCACGUGACUGACGAAUGAAAGGUAAAUGUGGAAAAUUGCAACCCCAAACAAAGAGCUAACACAACUGCAAGAGUAAUAGAGGAUUCUCCCAUUCAUUGUUAUUGCGGUAAAAAGGCUCGUAUUAUGACAUCUUGGACUAAUCUAAAUCCGGGGAUAAGGUUUUUAGGAUGCAAUAAGCAUAAGAGAUAUGGAGGAUGUGGAUUCUUCAUGUGGUAUAAUGCUCCAAUGUGUGAUAGGUCGAAGCAAAUCAUUCAUGUAUUGUUGAAUGGUUUGAAAAAUAAGGAGAAUGAAGUAUUUGUUUAUCGAAAAAGGGUUAAAUGCAUGUUUUGGUUGAUGACCAUUCCAUGGA
Vitis vinifera (wine grape) is the source of this 3257-nucleotide long non-coding RNA. RefSeq lists it as uncharacterized. The record is from RefSeq and is a predicted model, not a curated record. Lineage: Eukaryota; Viridiplantae; Streptophyta; Magnoliopsida; Vitales; Vitaceae. The transcript is spliced from 2 exons.